RNAcentral lists this ribosomal RNA (468 nucleotides) under uncultured bacterium. RNAcentral describes it as "partial 16S ribosomal RNA". It matches the Rfam family "Bacterial small subunit ribosomal RNA", at positions 28 to 507 of the family's 1533-position model. The record is from RNAcentral.
GACGAACGCUGGCGGCGUGCUUAACACAUGCAAGUCGAACGGAAAGGCCCUGCUUUUGUGGGGUGCUCGAGUGGCGAACGGGUGAGUAACACGUGAGUAACCUGCCCUUGACUUUGGGAUAACUUCAGGAAACUGGGGCUAAUACCGGAUAGGAGCUCCUGCUGCAUGGUGGGGGUUGGAAAGUUUCGGCGGUUGGGGAUGGACUCGCGGCUUAUCAGCUUGUUGGUGGGGUAGUGGCUUACCAAGGCUUUGACGGGUAGCCGGCCUGAGAGGGUGACCGGCCAAAGUGGGACUGAGAUACGGCCCAGACUCCUACGGGAGGCAGCAGUGGGGAAAAUUGCAAGAUGGGCGGAAGCCUGAUGCAGCAACGCCGCGUGCGGGAUGACGGCCUUCGGGUUGUAAACCGCUUUCGCCUGUGACGAAGCGUGAGUGACGGUAAUGGGUAAAGAAGCACCGGCUAACUACGUG